GACGAACGCUGGCGGCGCGCCUAACACAUGCGAGUCGAACGAGCGAGCGAGAGCUUGCUUUCUCGAGCGAGUGGCGAACGGGUGAGUAACGCGUGAGGAACCUGCCUCAAAGAGGGGGACAACAGUUGGAAACGACUGCUAAUACCGCAUAAGCCCACGGCUCGGCAUCGAGCAGGGGGAAAAGGAGCAAUCCGCUUUGAGAUGGCCUCGCGUCCGAUUAGCUAGUUGGUGGGGUAACGGCCCACCAAGGCGACGAUCGGUAGCCGGACUGAGAGGUUGAACGGCCACAUUGGGACUGAGACACGGCCCAGACUCCUACGGGAGGCAGCAGUGGGGAAUAUUGCACAAUGGGGGAAACCCUGAUGCAGCGACGCCGCGUGGAGGAAGAAGGUCUUCGGAUUGUAAACUCCUGUUGUUGGGGAAGAUAAUGACGGUACCCAACAAGGAAGUGACGGCUAACUACGUG
This 466-nucleotide ribosomal RNA is filed under the name uncultured bacterium. RNAcentral describes it as "partial 16S ribosomal RNA". It matches the Rfam family "Bacterial small subunit ribosomal RNA", at positions 28 to 507 of the family's 1533-position model. The record is from RNAcentral.